UGCAGGCGUGGUACAUUCGCAGCAUCUCCUCUCGCUUCAGAGCCUCCUCGGGUGAUUCCUCCAUCAUUUGGGACUGGUGGGAAAAGGCUUUAAGUGUUGUAUCUAAUAAAACUUAUACAGGCACAUUCAACAGUAACAAAGAUAACUAUCCAAAAACCAGUGUUACCUGAUCCCCGGAGGCAUACAGAUGUGCCAGCAGCUCCCCAUUGAUGAAGUCCUUGGCGUUGUUGAUUAUCAUCAGCAUGAUGGUCUUGGGGACGAGGUCCCGGGUUGUCUUGGUCACUAUACGCAUGUAAGAGUCCACCAGGUUACGGAUCGUCUCAACCUGACGCUCCAGCUGAGGGUCCAUACUGCUGGUCACCGAUGUAUCCGAACUCUGGAAUACAUGUUAUUGUAUUAAAACAUAAUAUAGGACACAUUCACAAUGCUGUAGUAUAUUUGGUGUUGGGAACGAAUAAAUACCGGUAGAUUUGUUAGUCUCUGAGUAUGUUAGUGUUGUUUGCUAAAAUGAUAUUUUAUUGAUAGACGAGUUCUAUCAAUUGUGAUUAGUUUUUCGCUUGCACACAUUUAAAAUUUUUAAUAUUAUUGCCACCAUUUUUCUAUUAGAUGUGUUAUCUGUUAGUAUCUUGAUUAAUGAGAUUUUUUAUAUUUUAUGUCCUUAUGUGAUUUAUAUUGAAGUAUGUAAUAUAUAUUUUUUUCAAUCUGUUUAGUUGCAGUCACAUCUCUAUAGUAAAUAAUCAUUUUAUUAUAUAGUCAUAAAUCUCAUGUCACUAAGGUUCAUUAUUCGACCACUAUUAUUGUUUUAAGUUUAUAGACUUAUAUGUUUAAAUAUUAUAUGUGUAUAUAAAAAUUCAAAGAUUUUUUGUUAUUUUAUUUUUUUUCAAAAGAGAAAAUGUAUUAAAUGUUUAAAAUGCCUGCGAAUUUGUUUGUAUUUUAGUGA
Long non-coding RNA from Danaus plexippus (monarch butterfly), 940 nucleotides. RefSeq lists it as uncharacterized. The transcript is spliced from 2 exons. Lineage: Eukaryota; Metazoa; Arthropoda; Insecta; Lepidoptera; Nymphalidae. The record is from RefSeq and is a predicted model, not a curated record.